This 202-nucleotide non-coding RNA is filed under the name Bacillus sp. cl115. Lineage: Bacteria; Bacillati; Bacillota; Bacilli; Caryophanales; Bacillaceae. RNAcentral also lists the same sequence under 2 other names. The record is from RNAcentral.
GUGAACUGUCAUUUUGAGAAGUCAAAUGAAGGAGUAACGUCUGGAAGGGCUUCCCUUAAUCCUCCGACAUGCAGGAAAGUAAGCAAGUACUGAACUGUGUGAAGCUCGGUGAAGUCGGUUGAAGGUUACCGUAAAUUAGUAUCUCUAAUACGAAAGCUAUUCAGCGGUGGAUGGUGUAACUGAUAGACCGGAGGUCUAUAAA